RNAcentral lists this ribosomal RNA (440 nucleotides) under uncultured bacterium. RNAcentral describes it as "bacterial SSU rRNA". It matches the Rfam family "Bacterial small subunit ribosomal RNA", at positions 338 to 794 of the family's 1533-position model. The record is from RNAcentral.
CCUACGGGAGGCAGCAGUGAGGAAUAUUGCACAAUGGGGGCAACCCUGAUGCAGCGACGCCGCGUGGGUGAUGAAGGUUUUCGGAUCGUAAAGCCCUUUUCUGCAUGACGAGACAGGACGGUAGUGCAGGAAGAAGUGUCGGCUAACUACGUGCCAGCAGCCGCGGUAAAACGUAGGACACAAGCGUUAUCCGGAAUUACUGGGCGUAAAGGGCGUGCAGGCGGUUGGGUAAGUUAGGCGUGAAAGACUUCGGCUAAACCGGGGGAGGUCGUCUGAUACUGCUCAACUUGAGUGUGGUAGAGGCGUGUAGAAUUCCGGGUGUAGUGGUGAAAUGCGUAGAGAUCCGGAGGAAUACCAGUGGCGAAGGCGGCACGCUGGGCCAUUACUGACGCUAAGACGCGAAAGCAUGGGUAGCGAACGGGAUUAGAUACCCUAGUAGU